Molecule: ribosomal RNA, 428 nt
Filed under: uncultured bacterium
Lineage: Bacteria
Description: partial 16S ribosomal RNA
Rfam family: Bacterial small subunit ribosomal RNA
Source: RNAcentral
GUGGGGAAUAUUGGUCAAUGGGGGAAACCCUGAACCAGCAACGCCGCGUGAAGGAAGAAGGCUUUCGGGUUGUAAACUUCUUUGACAGGGGACGAAACAAAUGACGGUACCCUGAAAACAAGCCACGGCUAACUACGUGCCAGCAGCCGCGGUAAUACGUAGGUGGCAAGCGUUAUCCGGAUUUACUGGGUGUAAAGGGCGUGUAGGCGGGACUGCAAGUCAGAUGUGAAAACUAUGGGCUCAACCCAUAGCCUGCAUUUGAAACUGUGGUUCUUGAGUGAUGGAGAGGCAAACGGAAUUCCGUGUGUAGCGGUGAAAUGCGUAGAUAUACGGAGGAACACCAGUGGCGAAGGCGGUUUGCUGGACAUUAACUGACGCUGAGGCGCGAAAGCGUGGGGAGCAAACAGGAUUAGAUACCCCUGUAGUCC